Molecule: ribosomal RNA, 492 nt
Filed under: uncultured bacterium
Lineage: Bacteria
Description: partial 16S ribosomal RNA
Rfam family: Bacterial small subunit ribosomal RNA
Source: RNAcentral
AGUGAACGCUGGCGGUAGGCCUAACACAUGCAAGUCGAACGGCAGCACAGUAAGAGCUUGCUCUUACGGGUGGCGAGUGGCGGACGGGUGAGGAAUACAUCGGAAUCUACUUUUUCGUGGGGGAUAACGUAGGGAAACUUACGCUAAUACCGCAUACGACCUACGGGUGAAAGCAGGGGAUCUUCGGGCCUUGCGCGAUUGAAUGAGCCGAUGUCGGAUUAGCUAGUUGGCGGGGUAAAGGCCCACCAAGGCGACGAUCCGUAGCUGGUCUGAGAGGAUGAUCAGCCACACUGGAACUGAGACACGGUCCAGACUCCUACGGGAGGCAGCAGUAGGGAAUAUUGGACAAUGGGCGCAAGCCUGAUCCAGCCAUACCGCGUGGGUGAAGAAGGCCUUCGGGUUGUAAAGCCCUUUUGUUGGGAAAGAAAAGCAGCAGGUUAAUACCCCGCUGUUCUGACGGUACCCAAAGAAUAAGCACCGGCUAACUUCGUG